RNAcentral lists this long non-coding RNA (529 nucleotides) under Prunus dulcis (almond). Its description in RNAcentral is "sRNA ncRNA". The record is from RNAcentral. Lineage: Eukaryota; Viridiplantae; Streptophyta; Magnoliopsida; Rosales; Rosaceae.
UAAAAAGAGAGGCUAGAGAGUCUGUUGAUGAGUCUUUACUUGUUUCCGAGGUAUCCAUUCUUUUCUUACUAUAAUACCUUGUUUUGACUGUAUCGUACUGUGUAUCAUUUGAUAACCCAAUAAAUCACCUAUUUCUUUUCUGGUUCAAAUAGAAUUAAAAAUGGAAGAAUUUCAAGGAUAUUUAGAACUAGAUAGAUAUCAGCAACAUGACUUCCUAUACCCACUUAUCUUUCGGGAGUAUAUUUAUGCACUUGCUCAUGAUCAUGGUUUAAAUAGAUCGAUUUUGUUGGAUAAUGUAGGUUAUGAUAAUAAAUCUAGUUUACUAAUUAUAAAACGUUUAAUUAGUCGAAUGUAUAAACAGAAUCAUUUUUUUAUUUCCGCUAAUGAUUCUAACCAAAAAAAAAAAAAUUGGGGUACAACAAAAAUCUGUAUUCUCAAAAAAUAUCGGAGGGAUUCACCGUCAUUGUGGAAAUUUCGUUUUCCCUACGAUUAGUAUCUUCCUUAGAGGCGACAGAAACCGUAAAAUCUU